RNAcentral lists this ribosomal RNA (253 nucleotides) under uncultured bacterium. RNAcentral describes it as "partial 16S ribosomal RNA". It matches the Rfam family "Bacterial small subunit ribosomal RNA", at positions 524 to 776 of the family's 1533-position model. The record is from RNAcentral.
UACAGGGGGUGCUAGCGUUGUUCGGAAUUACUGGGCGUAAAGGGCGCGUAGGCUGCUCAACAAGUCUGUUGUGAAAUCCCGGGGCUUAACUCCGGACGUGCAAUGGAAACUGUUGGGCUAGAGUGUAGUAGAGGUUGGUGGAAUUCCUAGUGUAGAGGUGAAAUUCGUAGAUAUUAGGAGGAACACCGGUGGCGAAGGCGGCCAACUGGGCUACAACUGACGCUGAGGCGCGAAAGCGUGGGGAUCAAACAGG